This is an RNA transcript of Ricinus communis (castor bean), 2802 nucleotides long. RefSeq lists it as uncharacterized. The record is from RefSeq and is a predicted model, not a curated record. The transcript has 5 exons. Lineage: Eukaryota; Viridiplantae; Streptophyta; Magnoliopsida; Malpighiales; Euphorbiaceae.
GCAGUUGGCAACUUGGCAUGGAAGCCAUACCAUAUUCUUUUUUUCUUAUUAAUCUUUUCAUUUUAUUUUUCUUUCUUUUAUAAAUAUAAAUAUAAAUAUAAAUUUGGCUUUUUUUAAUAACUAACGCCAUUCCAUUCCAUUACAAAAUCAAAAUCCCCAACCAAAAAUCACAACCACAGCUACAACAACGACAACAAUCUCUAAUCUUUGAGAGGAAUUGAAAAAAGAAUCAAAGUGAAGACUUGUGACAUUGUGGCAAUCAUGAGAUUUAAGAAAGGGAGCAAAGUGGAAGUCUUCAGCAAAAUAGAUGUUCCUUCAGGCUCUUGGCGUUGCGCUGAAAUUAUCUGUGGUAACGGCCACACUUAUACAGUUAGAUAUGAGGCACAUGCAGGUUCCAUUAGUGAGAGAACAGUUGAGAGGAUAUCCAGGAAGGCAAUUCGGCCUUGCCCUCCAUUACCUGAAAUUGCAGAGAAUUGGGCUCCUGGAGAUGUGGUAGAGGUGUUUGAUGAUUUUUCUUGGAAAAUGGCAACAAUAUCUAAGGUGCUGGGAAAAAAAUAUUUUUUGGCCAGGAUAGUUGGAUCAUCACUUGAAUUUAAAGUGAGCAAAUCUGGCAUUCGGACAAGACAGUCUUGGCAAGAUGGAAAAUGGAUUGUGAUCGGAAAGGGUUCUGGCAGUUAUGAAGACACAAAACAUGAUGAAAAUGUAACUCUGAAAUGCAAGCAAAACUCUCAGAACAAUGUUCAGAUGAGAAGUACAAGGCUAAAAGUUGGUUCCUUUCGUAUGAGGAAUAAGGAGACACUCAAGGGAUCCAAUAUUGUUUCCUGUAGAACUUUAAAGCGAGGUCCAUGUGGCUAUAAACAAGUUGAAACGUAUGAUGGUGCUGCCCAAAAAUUUAGAGCAGUUGAGAAAGAGGGCAGGCUGCAUCGAGUGCUUGCAGCAAAUCAAUCUUCAUUUGCUCAACAGGGAGAUGAUGUUGCUUUCCCGAAAGAAAUGGUGGGUGAAAAAAACAUGCAUUCCUCUUUUUACAGCCAAACUGGUUUUACUGAAAUCGAUGUGGAGAGAAGAAAACAAAGUGGUGCCGUUGGAUGUUCUUCUGCAAUAGAAGUAGAUUCUAAUGAUGAAGAGAGCAUUACUAGCUCAGUUGGUAGUUGUAGCACCACUAGCAAUAAUUACUAUAAAAUGCAUCAUCGUGCAGGUUUUAUUGAAGAUAUUGAUGGCAAUUUUAGUGAUGCAGAAUCUUUCUGUCACCGGGGAUAUGAGGAAGGGACUAAUUGUUUUCCCACAAAUGAGGAAUUGGCUGCUGAAGUCCAUAGGUUAGAGUUACAUGCCUACCGUUGCACUAUGGAGGCAUUGUAUGCAUCAGGGCCUUUUAGUUGGGAGCAGGAAGAAAUGGUGACAAAUCUCCGUCUUUCCCUCCAUAUAUCAAAUGAUGAACAUUUGAUGGAGGGACAGAGUAGGAGGCUUGCACACCUCACUUCUUCCCAGUGUUAAAAGAUGAUGUUGGAGUUUGCUACAACUCAUACAACACAUAAUGUUGAGCCACUGAUUUUGGUAAUUUAUGUGAUUGCCAUACUUUCUGUUUGGCUGUCUCUAGGCCUCACAAAUCUUAUUUUGCUGAAGGAUGUGACCUGAAUGUAGUUGCUGCCAUGGGAUGACCAGAUAAAUGGAUGCCUGGAAAAUUUUAGUUUGGGACCUUUCCUUAAUUCAUCCAUAUAUAGCAUCUCUUGAGUUUUGAUAUCACUUUAGUUUAUUUGGUUCUCUAUUAUUUCAUAGCAUUAUGCUUGUCAUUCGCACAAAUUCAUUCUUUCUUUAAUUUUGUGAAGAAUGUGAAAGUGACAAUCUGUUGAAGCUCUAGGUGGAACACCUCAAGCCUGGAACUGAUAAUCAUUGGUAAGAAUGUAGCAAUGAAGUAGCACAAUAUUCUUUUAAAGCUUGGAGCUAUUAAAUGAAGCCUAGAAAGAAUAGUGUGAUUUAACAGAUAAACUGGAAGACGGGUUGCUGUUAAAUCUUCGUGCCAGUAUCAAGAAAGAUAAUGAUCAAACGAAUUGAGAUUUAUUUCUAUUGCAGUGACAGGAAGGGAGCAGACAGUUUGUGCAUAUGCAAAUGUACCAAGUUUCGAACAUUUCUUGCAGAGACGAGAACAGCCAAAUUCUGAUGGCGGAGAGCUAUUAUUGCGAAUGAUACGAGGUUUCCGAGUUGAUGGAUGAAGACAGAAUGCACAAACCUGAUGAGAACAUGCUUAUGGUAUUAUUUUGUGAAAUUGAGAGAGAGACCCGCACACGAAAAGAAGAAACUGCGGUGAGGUAUCUGCUCAUAGAACUUCAAAUAAAACUUCAGCACUGGCCUGAUUCAUUUGCAGUUAUAUGGUCACUGGUGCAGAUGAUUGUUGAAUGCUUUGGUGUUAUGGGACAUAGUUCAUCGCAAACCUGCUAAAACUGGAGCAUUCCUUUAGCAGAACCUUACUUUUUGAGUUUGGACAGGCAAGCAGGUUGUACUGCAGAAUGCAGAUGGUGGACCUGUUAACUGCACUUUUGAACUUCUAUAAACAGCUUGCGGCCCCAAACAUUUCACAACCUUUUAUGCUUUCCUUUAAACAUUUAAAUGGAGUUGGUUUCUUCAUUAAGACAUUAUGCAACUCUUUAGUAUCAAGACUUGUACCUUCAAUGUGAGACUGUAACAUUAUAGAAGAAUAUUAACCUUUGAUUAAAGCAAGCCUGCCUUUCUUUUCUUUUUUUGUUUCUGACACACCUAAACUUCUUUUUCAUAAUAAUUAAACACUUUUUCCACAACAUGGUUUCAUUA